This 1213-nucleotide ribosomal RNA is filed under the name Latilactobacillus sakei. RNAcentral describes it as "bacterial SSU rRNA". It matches the Rfam family "Bacterial small subunit ribosomal RNA", at positions 256 to 1461 of the family's 1533-position model. Lineage: Bacteria; Bacillati; Bacillota; Bacilli; Lactobacillales; Lactobacillaceae. The record is from RNAcentral.
AGUAAAGCUCACCAAGACCGUGAUGCAUAGCCGACCUGAGAGGGUAAUCGGCCACACUGGGACUGAGACACGGCCCAGACUCCUACGGGAGGCAGCAGUAGGGAAUCUUCCACAAUGGACGAAAGUCUGAUGGAGCAACGCCGCGUGAGUGAAGAAGGUUUUCGGAUCGUAAAACUCUGUUGUUGGAGAAGAAUGUAUCUGAUAGUAACUGAUCAGGUAGUGACGGUAUCCAACCAGAAAGCCACGGCUAACUACGUGCCAGCAGCCGCGGUAAUACGUAGGUGGCAAGCGUUGUCCGGAUUUAUUGGGCGUAAAGCGAGCGCAGGCGGUUUCUUAAGUCUGAUGUGAAAGCCUUCGGCUCAACCGAAGAAGUGCAUCGGAAACUGGGAAACUUGAGUGCAGAAGAGGACAGUGGAACUCCAUGUGUAGCGGUGAAAUGCGUAGAUAUAUGGAAGAACACCAGUGGCGAAGGCGGCUGUCUGGUCUGUAACUGACGCUGAGGCUCGAAAGCAUGGGUAGCAAACAGGAUUAGAUACCCUGGUAGUCCAUGCCGUAAACGAUGAGUGCUAGGUGUUGGAGGGUUUCCGCCCUUCAGUGCCGCAGCUAACGCAUUAAGCACUCCGCCUGGGGAGUACGACCGCAAGGUUGAAACUCAAAGGAAUUGACGGGGGCCCGCACAAGCGGUGGAGCAUGUGGUUUAAUUCGAAGCAACGCGAAGAACCUUACCAGGUCUUGACAUCCUUUGACCACUCUAGAGAUAGAGCUUUCCCUUCGGGGACAAAGUGACAGGUGGUGCAUGGUUGUCGUCAGCUCGUGUCGUGAGAUGUUGGGUUAAGUCCCGCAACGAGCGCAACCCUUAUUACUAGUUGCCAGCAUUUAGUUGGGCACUCUAGUGAGACUGCCGGUGACAAACCGGAGGAAGGUGGGGACGACGUCAAAUCAUCAUGCCCCUUAUGACCUGGGCUACACACGUGCUACAAUGGAUGGUACAACGAGUUGCGAGACCGCGAGGUUUAGCUAAUCUCUUAAAACCAUUCUCAGUUCGGAUUGUAGGCUGCAACUCGCCUACAUGAAGCCGGAAUCGCUAGUAAUCGCGGAUCAGCAUGCCGCGGUGAAUACGUUCCCGGGCCUUGUACACACCGCCCGUCACACCAUGAGAGUUUGUAACACCCAAAGCCGGUGAGGUAACCCUUCGGGGAGCCAGCCGUCUAAG